RNAcentral lists this long non-coding RNA (572 nucleotides) under Mytilus galloprovincialis (Mediterranean mussel). Lineage: Eukaryota; Metazoa; Mollusca; Bivalvia; Mytilida; Mytilidae. The record is from RNAcentral.
UUUUUGAGUCAUGAUAAGAGUUGACGUCAACAAUAUUACUGCUUUUAUUAUUUGUUUAUGCUGCUGUUAGUUUGGAUUUGAAUUUAAAUUUACAAUUUGUUAUGCCUCUUAAAGAUCUGAAAAGUAAUGAUGGCUAUUUUUUGAGUAAGUUAUGAAUUGACUUCAAUGUUACUGCUGUUAUAAUUUGCUUAUGUUUGUCAGUUUGGAGCUGAAUUAUCAAACUUUUUGUUAAUGUUAGGAUAAGCUCUGAAAAGUAAUGAUGGCUAUUUUAGCCAUUAAAGUUAUAAUUGAUAUGAAAUGUUAAAAGUGUUCCUAUUGUUAUCAUAUAUAUCAGAGAAAUGUUUGGAACAAGUUUGUUUUCAAAUUAUUGGUGUAUAUAUUUUUAUCUACUUUUAUGAAAAUCAAUUUUUUAGGUACUUAAUGAUCUUGGAAUAUACAUUCCAUUAUAAAAUAGUACAAUUGUUUUUAUAUAUAAAAUCCUGUAGAUCUGAGUUCACCAAUUAUCACUGUUAAUGCUACUGUUUUGUUGGGAAAUUUUUCCAGGAAUUUUUUGUUGUUCUUAUUUUGUGAUA